Herpailurus yagouaroundi (jaguarundi) is the source of this 851-nucleotide long non-coding RNA. RefSeq lists it as uncharacterized. The record is from RefSeq and is a predicted model, not a curated record. The transcript is spliced from 4 exons. Lineage: Eukaryota; Metazoa; Chordata; Mammalia; Carnivora; Felidae.
UGACAGUUGGCAUAGUCAAAAGGAUGUUUUAAGUCACUGGACACCAGUCGCUCUGACGCUGCUGGAGCUGAAAUCUCCUGGGACAUCUGACACACAGCUGGCAAAAGGACAUGAUUGGAAGCCUUAGUUAUAUUACAAAGGCUUUGGCUGGAAUGUCAUAUUUGAGAGAGGUGUGCAUAGACUCAGAUAUGAACAGACAGCUUUAAGGAACUAAGCCUGACUUUAUGGAGCCAAUAAAACCCCUUGGAAAAUAUCAGCGUGGUGCAUUGCUCACAAAGGUCCCAGCAGCCUCACCAGGUGAAUAAAGAAGGUCACUCCCUGGCAGGUGCAGGAAGCUCAGGAUGUUCUGGGGACCUCGAGAAGAGAGGAAUUCACCCAAGUCUUGUUCUCCAGUGCCAGGCUACAACUCUCCAAACUAAUGUUUUUGAAUGUUCUCCCACCUUUCUGACUUGGAAUCAUUUGAGAACUAAAACUUCCCUCUUCCUUGAAGCCCUGCAAACUUAAUAUAAAAUGGCUUGGUGUAAACUUCAGAGAAAUUGCCACGAUGGCUCAUGUCUAGACAAUCUUCAUACUUACUGCACUGUGGGCCACUCAACAGAUUGCUAGAGACAUGUGAGCUACAAACCAGGAGAAUCUGUGGCAUUGCCACGGCCUGCCUUCACUCUGUCUGAAGAUGCUCGGAGCCUGACAUCUAGAAGUCUUGUCAGCUGGCUGGCUCAGAACUCAGAGACAGGCCUAGCUUGGAGAAACGCCACCUUCUGAAACGAGUUCAACUAAGCUGACCUAUUAUCAAGACUCAGGGGAGUGGUUCGGUGAGACGAAACAAUCUACCAGCUCAACUUUUAAUGUGU